GACACGGCAAUUAAGUUACGAACAAUUUAAAACAAAAAUUGGAAUCAGCCGAAAGAUAUUUCGGCAAUCCUAGUCAUUGCAACAACGCUUAAAGUUUCGCACCACGCCCUCCGUCCAAAAUGAACAGCGAUAUAACAUUGCUUCUGCUGCUUGGACAUCUAAAAAAAAUUCAGAUACAUUAAGUGACUGAAGUCACCAAAAGUGACAAUUGUCACGGAAAAUAGGGACUCUGAGAGUCACUUUUUGUGACGCUAGUCACCGUGACUCGCAAAAAAUGUGACGAAAUAGUCACCUUCCAAAAUAUUGGUGACUAGAACAAAAAGUGAUUUAUUUUUGGCAAUAUUGUGGGAUGAGUAAUGUUUGCUGUGGGAAAAAUAUUUGGACAGUUCAUUCUUCUAGUAAAUAUUUUGUUUUUGGGGAGUUACACCAAUAAAGCAAUAAAGAAAUGAAUCGAGAUCCUGUAAUGGAAUUUAUUACACUAAUUGUGCAGAACAAAAAAAACCGCAACACGGUAGUCCCAAAGCUAAUUAAGACGGCCUCUUAAAAAAAACUAUUUUGGUUAAAUUUUUAGACAAUUUCUUUAAAUUAUAGCAGAAGCUAAAAAUAGUUUAAAUUUACGCAGAAUUAAUGGUUGAAUUUUACAACACUUAAGUGCAGCUAAAGAAAAUGGUUAAAAAUGAACCAUAUGGUUGAACGAAAUGACAGUCGCAGUGAGUUUUAUUGUUGGUGGAUAAGUUCUGAUUUUUCUCCAUCGUUGAGAUGGGUCAGCAAAGUUGAACACGCAAAGAAUCUACUACCGAUACAUUAAGGUUGAAAGACUAGUGCACCAGGGGAAGGUGCUACUAUUUUGCGGUUAGCUUGUAAGUGCAUCUUAAUAACUUUAAAUCUUAGGUGUAACUCAGAGACAUGUCCAAAUAUUGAUGCCCAAUUGAUCACCGUCAUUAAAUUUGAGGCAGAAGAAAACUUAUUCAUUGCUUCCAGAAGGGAAUCAGCUUACUGGAAAGGGAAUAGGCAUAACGUCGUUGCUUAACCGACAUUGCCAAACAACUACCAAAGAAACGCCGCGAGGUCGUGAUCGCCAUUCUGACGUCCAAGAGAAUCGAAUAGUUGCUGGAAGAGUUCUACCCGGUGACAGAAAACUUGUGCAAUUACAAAAUAUACUGUAGCGUUGUACAUAUAAUAUUUAAGAAUUAAAAUAAGCAUUACCAUGAAGUACCAAAAAUAUUGGAGAAUAGCCCCUCGGCCAUUCAGGCAGUACAACAUAAAAUACUGCUCUUUUCUCUCGUUCUCAUCCAGAGAGUGAGUGGGGUGAACCUAGAAGCUAGGGCUCUGCGCUUCGAGAGCUCAUACGUGCACGCGCCUAGCAAUCUCGUCGGUGGUUGGAAUCUCAUUUAGCGGGUGGUUGCGACGUCGGCGUCGCGCCCUUUGAUUUGAGUACGUACAGUGCAUGUACAUUGCAAGUACUUUGUCGCGGGGAACAAAAAGAGACAGCGAACUGAGGGCAAAGGUUGUUUCUGACUUCGGGAAAAAGACAACCCGAUUUUACCUGAACUUCUGAGGUUGAAAGUCAAUGCCCUAGAAAUGGUUUAAGGAGGUUUUGUAUCGGGAAUGAAAGGACGACUUCGGCACAAAAUUUGUGGUGGGAAACUAUUGCACUUCGUGAAAUAGUUAACCAUAGUUAACCAUUGUUCAAAUAGUUGUGCCGCGGUGUAGGACUUAAGGUAGUUUUUUAAAACAGCGUGAGAUUCUUUUAAUUAGUUUCACUAAGAAAUUUUCCUUUUCCUGUGCAGAAUUAGCUAGGUCGAAAAGUGAGUGCGCAAGUUCAUUCGCACGGUUUCGGAGUGCUAAAAGUAGAUCGACGAAUUAAGGUAAAUUCCCGUAUUUUUGGCUUUUUGUGUGCAAGUGCGUAUUCUCAUACCAACCGAAUGUUGGCAUUAUUUUCACAUAUAGGCAAUUUGUGAUCAAGAUCCCGCCACACCGCAUUCGUAGCCAGAGACGCUUCUGACCCCACCAUCCAGCUUCAAAGAACCCGGUAGUUCGAUCCACGUGCCGGAAGAGCAGCGAGGCUGCUAGGCAGGGAAGCCAUCAACGAGCCGUCAGCAAUAUAACGACGAAGGAAAAACCAUCUUCAGUUCAGAAUCGCCAGCAGACCGUUGGGCAGUGUCAACGUUCCGGCCAGCAUCAGUUCCGGUCCCCGGAAACCGCCAACAAUCACGCCUCACGUAAAUCGAUGUUGUAAGUACGUUCCAUAUUUUUAUUACAUGCGCAUGUUAGGGAACAGUACACAACACACGCUAAGACCCUAGGGCCACGAAAUGUGAAAAGGGAAUACGCACACAAAAGCCACUCAAUGAACACGGUACCGAUACGGUACCGAUAAGCUGCACAGGGUAGAGCACUAAAUGAAAGCGACGAAUCGAGCAGGAAAUUAGCCGAGACCGCAAAGGCGGUGAUGAGAGUUAGCUAGGUUGAGAGAGUAUGGGUUCGAAUCCGGAUGUGGAAAGUGUUUUGAAUUAUUUUUUUUUGUCGGAAUAAACGUUGAAGUGAGCUGAAGUCGAUUUGAAUAUCCUAGUAAAGGUGUAUUUUUUUAGUGGUUCUGGUGAAGGUUUUCUCACGCUGUUCGGAUCGAUAGUUUUUCCUUUUUUUGCGGAUUGGGUUGACCCUUAUGUUUCAGUCUCCUCUCCCACCUCUGAAGCGAACAGCGCGAAAGAUACACACAGAAUUGUGCCCGUGAUGAUAAUUUAGCGGAAUGCUCUUCUUGCCGACCGAUGUUGACUUGAAAUUCUGGGUAUGAAGUUUCUGGUGGCUUUUUUGAAUGUAUUGGUGGCCUUCUGAAGUUGUUUGGGGAAAGUCGGAUUGUUUUGGAACCGUUUCAGAAACAACCAAAACCCCCCUUUGGAUAGGGUCUCUAGCUGGGCAAGCCACCAAGGUGAAUAGUCUCCUAUGGGAGUGGCGCGAAAAUCAUUCACUAGUUAAAUGAAGG
This is a long non-coding RNA of Topomyia yanbarensis, 2983 nucleotides long. RefSeq lists it as uncharacterized. The record is from RefSeq and is a predicted model, not a curated record. NCBI's taxonomy places the organism in Eukaryota, Metazoa, Arthropoda, Insecta, Diptera, Culicidae. The transcript is spliced from 3 exons.